UACGGGGGGGGCAAGCGUUGCUCGGAAUCACUGGGCGUAAAGCGCACGUAGGCGGACUCUUAAGUCGGUGGUGAAAUCCUGGAGCUCAACUCCAGAACUGCCUUCGAUACUGAGAGUCUCGAGUCCGAGAGAGGUGAGUGGAACUGCGAGUGUAGAGGUGAAAUCCGUUGAUCUGUAGAGUACCACCAAAAGGCGAAGGCAAUUAACUACUCCAUUUCUGACGUUGAGGCAUGAAAGCGUGGGGAGCAAACCGG
This 254-nucleotide ribosomal RNA is filed under the name uncultured bacterium. RNAcentral describes it as "partial 16S ribosomal RNA". It matches the Rfam family "Bacterial small subunit ribosomal RNA", at positions 524 to 776 of the family's 1533-position model. The record is from RNAcentral.